Molecule: ribosomal RNA, 591 nt
Filed under: uncultured bacterium
Lineage: Bacteria
Description: bacterial SSU rRNA
Rfam family: Bacterial small subunit ribosomal RNA
Source: RNAcentral
CCUACGGGAGGCAGCAGUGGGGAAUAUUGGACAAUGGGCGCAAGCCUGAUCCAGCAAUGCCGCGUGAGUGAUGAAGGCCUUAGGGUCGUAAAGCUCUUUUACCAGGGAUGAUAAUGACAGUACCUGGAGAAUAAGCUCCGGCUAACUCCGUGCCAGCAGCCGCGGUAAUACGGAGGGAGCUAGCGUUGUUCGGAAUUACUGGGCGUAAAGCGUACGUAGGCGGUUAUUCAAGUCAGAGGUGAAAGCCCGGGGCUCAACCCCGGAACGGCCUUUGAAACUAGGUAGCUAGAAUCUUGGAGAGGUCAGUGGAAUUCCGAGUGUAGAGGUGAAAUUCGUAGAUAUUCGGAAGAACACCAGUGGCGAAGGCGACUGACUGGACAAGUAUUGACGCUGAGGUACGAAAGCGUGGGGAGCAAACAGGAUUAGAUACCCUGGUAGUCCACGCCGUAAACGAUGAUAACUAGCUGUUCGGGCACUUGGUGCUUGAGUGGCGCAGCUAACGCAUUAAGUUAUCCGCCUGGGGAGUACGGUCGCAAGNUUAAAACUUAAGAAAGUAUAGCGNGNGAGAGCGACGACGACGACGAGGAGGAG